Molecule: ribosomal RNA, 848 nt
Filed under: uncultured archaeon
Lineage: Archaea
Description: bacterial SSU rRNA
Rfam family: Archaeal small subunit ribosomal RNA
Source: RNAcentral
AGGUUACUGCUAUCGAGGUUCGACUAAGCCAUGCGAGUCGAAUGUAGCAAUACAUGGCGAACUGCUCAGUAACACGUGGACAACCUGCCCUUAGGACGGGGAUAAACCCGGGAAACUGGGUAUAAUACCCGAUAGGUCUCGAUUGCUGGAAUGCAUCGAGAUUUAAAGCUCCGGCGCCUAAGGAUGGGUCUGCGGCCUAUCAGGUAGUAGUGGGUGUAGCGUACCUACUAGCCUACGACGGGUACGGGUUGUGAGAGCAAGAGCCCGGAGAUGGAUUCUGAGACACGAAUCCAGGCCCUACGGGGUGCAGCAGGCGCGAAAACUUUACAAUGCUGGCAACAGCGAUAAGGGAACCUCGAGUGCCAGGUUACAAAUCUGGCUGUCGAGAUGCCUAAAAAGCAUUUCAUAGCAGGGGCCGGGCAAGACCGGUGCCAGCCGCCGCGGUAACACCGGCGGCUCGAGUGGUAACCGUUAUUAUUGGGUCUAAAGGGUCUGUAGCCGGCCGGAUAAGUCUCUUGAGAAAUCUGGCAGCUUAACUGUCAGGCUUUCAGGAGAUACUGUCUGGCUCGAGGCCGGGAGAGGUGAGAGGUACUUCAGGGGUAGGGGUGAAAUCUUGUAAUCCUUGAAGGACCACCAGUGGCGAAGGCGUCUCACCAGAACGGACCUGACGGCAAGGGACGAAAGCUAGGGGCACGAACCGGAUUAGAUACCCGGGUAGUCCUAGCCGUAAACGAUACUCGCUAGGUGUCGGCCACGGUGCGACCGUUGUCGGUGCCGUAGGGAAGCCGUGAAGCGAGCCACCUGGGAAGUACGGCCGCAAGGCUGAAACUUAAAGGAAUUGGCGGGGG